Molecule: ribosomal RNA, 465 nt
Filed under: Vreelandella stevensii
Lineage: Bacteria; Pseudomonadati; Pseudomonadota; Gammaproteobacteria; Oceanospirillales; Halomonadaceae
Description: partial 16S ribosomal RNA
Rfam family: Bacterial small subunit ribosomal RNA
Source: RNAcentral
CCUACGGGCGGCAGCAGUGGGGAAUAUUGGACAAUGGGGGGAACCCUGAUCCAGCCAUGCCGCGUGUGUGAAGAAGGCCCUCGGGUUGUAAAGCACUUUCAGUGAGGAAGAACGCCUGGUGGUUAAUACCCAUCAGGAAAGACAUCACUCACAGAAGAAGCACCGGCUAACUCCGUGCCAGCAGCCGCGGUAAUACGGAGGGGGCGAGCGUUAAUCGGAAUUACUGGGCGUAAAGCGCGCGUAGGUGGCUUGAUAAGCCGGUUGUGAAAGCCCCGGGCUCAACCUGGGAACGGCAUCCGGAACUGUCAAGCUAGAGUGCAGGAGAGGAAGGUAGAAUUCCCGGUGUAGCGGUGAAAUGCGUAGAGAUCGGGAGGAAUACCAGUGGCGAAGGCGGCCUUCUGGACUGACACUGACACUGAGGUGCGAAAGCGUGGGUAGCAAACAGGAUUAGAUACCCCAGUAGUC